Magallana angulata is the source of this 1261-nucleotide long non-coding RNA. RefSeq lists it as uncharacterized. The transcript is spliced from 2 exons. Lineage: Eukaryota; Metazoa; Mollusca; Bivalvia; Ostreida; Ostreidae. The record is from RefSeq and is a predicted model, not a curated record.
UUCCGCAAAAUGUGCGAGACCCUGUGGAUCCAUAAAACGCAGACAACACUGUACAGACCAACAUGGAAUGGCCAAGUUGAGCAUUACAAAAGCACGCUUAUGGACACGGUACGCUGUUACAUUGAUGGCUGUCCUAUCUAAGAGCUGUGAUCAGUACUUGGGUCCAUUAGCAGGUGCUUUGAGGUCUGCUAUCAACAGGCACACUGGGUACACAGCAAACAAAUUGAAUAUGUUAGGUAGAGAAGUCAAUGUGCCCGUAACUAUUCUAUAUCGACUCCCAGAUUCCAAUGAUUUUCAAAAUGGGGAGGAAGGAGAAGUAAAUAAAUAUUUGUAUGUGGGUAUAUCCCUCUAACUAUUUUAAGAAUCGGUAGGACAACAAAGUAGUGCCUUUAAGCAAAAUAGUUCCUAUACUUGCAGAGUGUAUAUACAUUUAUUGGGACAUUUUAAAUCGGAAUGCUCGACACGUCAGAAAAGAGGAUUUGCAAUUUUAAAAGCAAUUGUCAAAAUUGAAUUACCAUUUGAAGAAAAGAAUUGAAAUUGUUUGAUGUACAUACUGCACCCUUUCCAAAACUGUGAAAUUCCCUACUUUUUUUUCAUUUUCAGAGUUUUUCAAUACAGACGCAUUUUGCCAGAAAACGAAUCUGACUUCAUACCACGAAAUUUUAACAGGAAAGAGACAGUUUGAUGAGAGGUCCCUCAUUGCUCAACGAAAACUAGGGCCGAAGCUAUGAACCCUAACGUUAACAUUACCACCUAUGGAAAAGGCAUUAGUGGACUAUACCCAUGUGUGCGAGUUGCAAGAAAAACUAGUAUGGGUAUUACUGCAGAAACUGCAGAAAGGAUACCUCGGUAUAGUUUUUCAGAUAUCUUCAAGAACGGGAAAUGGACUUCAUCUUGGACCACACUUGAUGCUGAUGCUUGAUGCUGAUCUACUACCUUUGGCGAAACAGCUACCCGACAUAUGUUUGAGUGCAAAGGCUCCAAAUACCAGGAAGAAAUAGGAAUAUGCCUAAAAUAACUUCCGUAAAUGGUGUAUCUCACAUAAUGUACCAUUUGCCCCAGCUUCAGAUUUCCAUGUAGCUUUGUACUUGACUCAUAUAAGAAAUCUAGGAAAAGCUUAAGGGUCAGUCAACAAAGCAUUUUAUGCUAUCAGCUGGGCUUAUAAAUUGGCGGGGAUGUUGGAUCCUUGUUCAUCUGAUCUUGCAAAAUCAGUUAGAGAGGGAUGUAGCAGAAUCAUUGGACGGAAAACGUGUCAUAAAAG